AUUGAACGCUGGCGGCAGGCCUAACACAUGCAAGUCGAGCGAGAGGCGGACGGGUGAGUAAUGUAUGGGGACUGCACGAUAGAGGGGGAUAACUACUGGAAACGGUGGCUAAUACCGCAUACUAUCGGAUAACCCAUAUGGGAUGAUAUAGUAGGUGGGGUAAAGGCUCACAUAGGAGACGAUGUCUAGCUGGUCUGAGAGGAUGAUGGGCCACACUGGUACUGAGACACGGCCCAGACUCCUACGGAGGCAGCAGUGGUGAAUGUUGCACAAUGGGCGCAAGCCUGAUGCAGCCAUGCCGAGUGUAUGAAGAAGGUCUUAGGGUUGUAAAGUACUUUCAGCGGGGAGGCGUUACCCGCAGAAGAAGCACCGGCUAGCUCCGUGCCAGCCGCCGCGGUAAUAC
RNAcentral lists this ribosomal RNA (403 nucleotides) under uncultured bacterium. Its description in RNAcentral is "partial 16S ribosomal RNA". It matches the Rfam family "Bacterial small subunit ribosomal RNA", at positions 30 to 526 of the family's 1533-position model. The record is from RNAcentral.